GUUUGUUACCCUUAAACAAAGCAAAAGCCAAAAAGCAUCAUCUUUACGAAGUAUCAGAAACUGGAAAGGCAAAUUGCAUUUUCUUUCAUCACAACACUCCUUGUAUGUUCACAAAAACUAUUGCUUCAAUGAAACACAUUCUCAUUCAUAAUGAAUGAUGCUCUCUUAUCAUUGUUGUUCUAUCAUUAAUUUUUUUAUUUUAUUUAUUUUUUUUUAAUCAAGCAGUAAGUUUAUCAUAUUUGCAACUUCAAAUGUUUGAUCCAAACCGUCCAAAAAUUAACAAAAGGACAAAUUACGUCAAAUCAGUAAGUAGUAGGAUCGUUUAGUUAUGAUCAUUGGAAAUUGUUUCAGUGAUCGGCUCGGUUGCAAGUCGUUUAAACUUGACAACCAAAUAUGAAACAUUUGUGAUUGCCAAAUUCAUCUUUCGUUGAGAAGUCAUCCUUUCUCUCUUUCUUUUCCAUACUUCAUAUACACUCUCUACUACUUAACAAGGUUCGACCAACUUUGUUUCAAGAAAUUUUGCCUUCCUCCGCAUUCGCGUAAAAAUUUCAUCCACUUUCCUUACCUUCCUUCUAUCCGAUUGCAAUUUUUUACAGGCACGAGUGCCUCGGAUGGAUAAGGCUUGAAACACCCGAGGCAACACAAAGAAAAAUAUUUUUUGCAUUCUGAAUACCACUAAUUGUUAGUUGACUAAACAAACGACGAAAGGCAUGCUUGACUCACUCAUGUAAUUUCACAUUCCUUGGUUUAUAUAUUAAUUCAUUUGGAUGCCUGUCAGAUAAAUUGUUCAGCUCUCGUACUUCCGUUUUUAUCCCACUUAAAUCAUAUGUUUCAUGGCAUAAAAUUAGUACCAUCUACGCGCGGGUUUAACUGUUAGUAAAAAAUUGCCUUUUACUCUACAACAAGACAAACAAAUGAUUCAUCUAGAAAAGUAGCGUGCUGUUAUCGAUAGACAAACAUAAUAACUGGUAGUUUUGUGAUAGUAAGAAUAAUGAUGAAUAUUUUUGUUUUAAAAAUAAGA
Molecule: non-coding RNA, 1021 nt
Organism: Schizosaccharomyces pombe (fission yeast)
Lineage: Eukaryota; Fungi; Ascomycota; Schizosaccharomycetes; Schizosaccharomycetales; Schizosaccharomycetaceae
Source: the annotation of a GenBank genome assembly